Molecule: long non-coding RNA, 584 nt
Filed under: Mustela putorius furo (domestic ferret)
Lineage: Eukaryota; Metazoa; Chordata; Mammalia; Carnivora; Mustelidae
Description: lncRNA (ENSMPUG00000030030.1)
Source: RNAcentral
GGAGCCUUUUGGGCACCAGUCCCAAUCAAAGUGUAAUAGGCUGGCUCAAAUGUCUACUAGGGUAAACUAACUCAGUUGGUCACCUAGCAUCACUGUGGAGUUUCCUGUGUGUGUUACAAUCUCAUUGGUAACCUGUGCAUGGCCAGGCCCGACCGCAUGGCCUUUGCCCUUGAAAGCUAGUCUGUGAAACAGAAGGGUCACCCUCUCUUGUAAGAGGUGCGGCCCCGAACGUUCGGUUAGAUUCUUGAUGCUUGGCGCGAAAUAAAGCUUUGCUUGGCCUUCAUUUUGUAUCAGUCUCGCUCCUUUAGUCACAGACCCAUUACUGGGGCAUAACAUAUGGGAGCUCUGUCCGGGAUUAAAUGACGAGAACUGAGCCAGCAUCAGAAUUUCUGGGAAAAGCCUCAAGGACAACAUUGAACACUGGUUAUUUUACCAAGGCUUUGACGGGAAUGUCAUAUUUGAAAAGACUCAGAUAUGACCAGACAGCUUAAAGGAACUAAGGUUGACUUUACAAAACCUGGAGCCGUAAAGCCCUUUGGAACUGUUGGCCUGAUACCUUGCUUACAGAGUUCCCAGCAGCCUCA